GGAGGGAUCAUUAAAGAAUAUAACAUUAUAAACCCCAAGUGUUGGAAGGGAAGAGGGGGAGGGAGAAAUCUCUCCCCCUUUUCCUCUCUGAUGCUUCAAACAAACGAUCACAACUAAGAAUAUUGAUUUGGCUUUUGAGGGAGAGAAAUAAUAAAUGUUUGCCUGAUAAUCUGAUUAUUGGAAUUGGGGAGAUAACAAAUACAACUUUCAACAACGGAUCUCUUGGCUCUCACAUCGAUGAAGAACAUAGCAAAUUGUGAAAAUUAAUGUGAAUUGCAGAAUUCAGUGAAUCAUUGAGUCUUUGAACGCAUCUUGCACUCUCUGGUAUUCCAGGGAGUAUGCCUGGUUGAGCAAUGUGAAUAUAUCAUCAAUCCCAUCUUGUAUGUGGAUUGGAAUUGAGUGUUUUACCUUGUCUUUUAAAAAGAGACAAGGUUCACUUGAAAUGAAGAGAAGGAUAACAACAGGGCUUGGUUGAUUAAGAGGAAAAAGAGACAAGCAAACUUGAUUUGGGAAAAGAAGAUUGGCUUGAUUUUUAUAACAACAAUGACUUGAUGAAGGAGAAUAUAGCAACAACGUAUGGAUUGGUGAUUAGAAUGACUUGGAUCGUUGGGUGCGCACAAAAAGUCUUGUUUAGAGCUUUUCUUCGCUAUAUCUUUGGAAUCUUGAUCGUUAUAUAUAACCAGCAAUCUGCUGUAUAAAUCGUCUUUCACAACUAGGAAAAUAUUCUCUUUAUCAUUCUCAACUCAGGCAAGACUACCCGCUGAAUUUAAGCAUAUAAAUAAGCGGAGGAAAAGAAACUAACAAGGAUUCCCUUAGUAACGGCGAGUGAAGCGGGAAAAGCUCAAUUUUGAAAUCUACUAGGAGUUAUAUUCCUAGUCGAAUUGUAGUUUCAAGAAAGAGUGGCUCAGGAAAGCUGGUUGGGUGUAAGUUCCUUGGAAUGAGACAUCAGAGAGGGUGACAAUCCCGUCUACCGUCCUUCCGCUUUUCUACCAAGCCCUCUUUUCAAAGAGUCGAGUUGUUUGGGAUUGCAGCUCAAAAUGGGUGGUAAAUUUCAUCUAAAGCUAAAUAUGGGUGAGAGACCGAUAGCGAACAAGUACCGUGAGGGAAAGAUGAAAAGCACUCUGAAGAGAGAGUGAAAAGUACGUGAAAUUGUUGAAAGGGAAACGCUUGAAACCAGUCAAGGUUGAUUAGAUUUCAGGGGAGUGUAUUGCUGGGCAAGAUUGAUGUAGAGAAUUGAUUCCUUGUGAAUUGACUCUAUGUUGAUUUUACGCUCAGUUAUGCUUUCUGUUUUUUUCUAAUCAACGAGUCAGCAUCAGUUUGACUGCUUGGGAUAAAGGUGACAGGAUCUGGUCAAUCUUUCGGCGAGCCUUGUUGCUCUCGGAGGGUUGAGCCUGCUUAUCAUGAUACCAAGCGUUGGACUGAGGAAUGCAGUACAAGACAUUGACUUGGAAUAGGCAAUCAUGUGGUGCCAUCUUUGAUAAACAGCUUGCUGAUUAUUAGAGAUGUGUUUUUUUCACUCAUGACUUGUCAAAUCCAAGCUGGUCUUGACUUUGGAUGUUGACGAAAUGGUUUUAAACGACCCGUCUUGAAACACGGACCAAGGAGUCUAACAUGGAUGCAAGUAUUUGGGUGAUUGGAAACCCAUAUGCGCAAUGAAAGUGAAUUCUUGAUAGGUAGGAAGUCAGUCCUUUCUUUUUUGAGGGAGGACUAACAGCACUACCGACCGAUCUUACCUAGCUUCGGCUUACUAGAUUUGAGUAAGAGCAUGCAUGUUGGGACCCGAAAGAUGGUGAACUAUGCCUGAAUAGGGUGAAGUCAGACGAAAGUCUGAUGGAAGCUCGUAGCGAUUCUGACGUGCAAAUCGAUCGUCAAAUUUGGGUAUAGGGGCGAAAGACUAAUCGAACCAUCUAGUAGCUGGUUCCUGC
RNAcentral lists this unclassified non-coding RNA (1925 nucleotides) under uncultured fungus. RNAcentral's name for it is "sequence contains 18S rRNA gene, ITS1, 5.8S rRNA gene, ITS2, 28S rRNA gene". The stretch from base 734 to 1925 matches the Rfam family "Eukaryotic large subunit ribosomal RNA", at positions 1 to 961 of the family's 3401-position model. Lineage: Eukaryota; Fungi. The record is from RNAcentral.